UACUCCUACGGGAGGCAGCAGUAGGGAAUCUUCGGCAAUGGACGGAAGUCUGACCGAGCAGCGCCGCGUGAGUGAAGAAGGUUUUCGGAUCGUAAAGCUCUGUUGUAAGAGAAGAACGAGUGUGAGAGUGGAAAGUUCACACUGUGACGGUAUCUUACCAGAAAGGGACGGCUAACUACGUGCCAGCAGCCGCGGUAAUACGUAGGUCCCGAGCGUUAUCCGGAUUUAUUGGGCGUAAAGCGAGCGCAGGCGGUUAGAUAAGUCUGAAGUUAAAGGCUGUGGCUUAACCAUAGUACGCUUUGGAAACUGUUUAACUUGAGUGCAAGAGGGGAGAGUGGAAUUCCAUGUGUAGCGGUGAAAUGCGUAGAUAUAUGGAGGAACACCGGUGGCGAAAGCGGCUCUCUGGCUUGUAACUGACGCUGAGGCUCGAAAGCGUGGGGAGCAAACAGGAUUAGAUACCCUGGUAGUCCACGCCGUAAACGAUGAGUGCUAGGUGUUAGACCCUUUCCGGGGUUUAGUGCCGUAGCUAACGCAUUAAGCACUCCGCCUGGGGAGUACGACCGCAAGGUUGAAACUCAAAGGAAUUGACGGA
Molecule: ribosomal RNA, 592 nt
Filed under: uncultured bacterium
Lineage: Bacteria
Description: bacterial SSU rRNA
Rfam family: Bacterial small subunit ribosomal RNA
Source: RNAcentral